GGAACUUACAGGAAAUGUGGUCUUGAAUAGAAUGCGAGGAACAAGAAAGAAAUCCAUGAAACCUGUGAAAGCAGAUGUUCUUGAUUGAAAAGGAGGGCUACAAAUCGACAAAACUGCCUUUACUGCUGCAUGAUACUGGAAAUUUCUAUGAAUCUUGGGUUUGGGUUGCAAAUUUAGCUGGAGGAUAUAAUGUAAUAUGAAGACUGUAUAGAAAGGAGAGAACCUGUAGCUGAAGACGCAUUCUGGAUGCACCUCUGCUUCUGCACACCUCUUCACUGUGCAGGCAGUAACUGAAGAAGGCAGUGUUACAGGGAUUACCAUCUCUGCCCAGGCCAGGACCAACUCUGACAUUGUCUCUCCCCACUGGAAUGGCGGAGGUUUUCUCUGAGCUGUUCUUCCUACAGUAGCCUCUUUCCUUUCACCUUUACUUUCACAGGCCUUCCACAGCCAUGCUGCUCCUAAAGUUCCUCACCUGUGCUUACUCCCUUGCCUCUCUAGCUUGUGUAAAUUACCACCAAUGCAUCUUUUUUCUUUCAAAUCUUUCUCAUAUUUCUUGUCAUUGUUCCUAAAAUAAAGUUUUAAGAACUUUGAUCUUCAGAACCUAGAAUUAUGACCAAAACAAACAAACAAACAAACAAACAAACACCUUCAAAGACUCUUUAAACACAAUGGAUUAUUAACACAGAAAAAUGUCUUCCAUUAAAAGAAAUCUUGGAACAUAGGUCUUGGAUUAUAUGGUUGUAUGCAGUCAAGAAACUGAUGUGGUGAAUUAACACUUGGGAAAUCUGCUGUUCUAAUGGUAGAACUGCACACUCAUCCAUAAAAAUAUAAAAGAAAACCACACUACAAUAUGUCACAAUCAUCUAUGUGAAAGAAACACAACUGGUGAAGUGUUGGACACAAUAUACAGUCAUGUGAAUAAGCCAUGAGACUCUUACUACAGAAUGUUUGCAUGUUUAGUUUCUUCUGCCCGAACACUCUAUAUUCUCUUUUUUCAUUAUUACUCAUCUUUCUACAUCAGGCCAAAUGUCACCUAUAGACAUUUGCUGUAGGUAUUCAAGCUCUGUCAUCUACUUUUUUUUUAAAAGAUAUCAAAAUUUGUAAUUAAAACAUUGAUUUUAAUUACAUCUUGCUUUCCUACAAAAUCCAUAAAA
This 1154-nucleotide long non-coding RNA is filed under the name Ictidomys tridecemlineatus (thirteen-lined ground squirrel). RNAcentral's name for it is "lncRNA (ENSSTOG00000033647.1)". The record is from RNAcentral. Lineage: Eukaryota; Metazoa; Chordata; Mammalia; Rodentia; Sciuridae.